Molecule: ribosomal RNA, 873 nt
Filed under: uncultured bacterium
Lineage: Bacteria
Description: bacterial SSU rRNA
Rfam family: Bacterial small subunit ribosomal RNA
Source: RNAcentral
AGUCGAGCGGAGAUGAGGUGCUUGCACCUUAUCUUAGCGGCGGACGGGUGAGUAAUGCUUAGGAAUCUGCCUAUUAGUGGGGGACAACAUUCCGAAAGGAAUGCUAAUACCGCAUACGUCCUACGGGAGAAAGCAGGGGAUCUUCGGACCUUGCGCUAAUAGAUGAGCCUAAGUCGGAUUAGCUAGUUGGUGGGGUAAAGGCCUACCAAGGCGACGAUCUGUAGCGGGUCUGAGAGGAUGAUCCGCCACACUGGGACUGAGACACGGCCCAGACUCCUACGGGAGGCAGCAGUGGGGAAUAUUGGACAAUGGGGGGAACCCUGAUCCAGCCAUGCCGCGUGUGUGAAGAAGGCCUUAUGGUUGUAAAGCACUUUAAGCGAGGAGGAGGCUACUGAGACUAAUACUCUUGGAUAGUGGACGUUACUCGCAGAAUAAGCACCGGCUAACUCUGUGCCAGCAGCCGCGGUAAUACAGAGGGUGCGAGCGUUAAUCGGAUUUACUGGGCGUAAAGCGUGCGUAGGCGGCUUUUUAAGUCGGAUGUGAAAUCCCCGAGCUUAACUUGGGAAUUGCAUUCGAUACUGGGAAGCUAGAGUAUGGGAGAGGAUGGUAGAAUUCCAGGUGUAGCGGUGAAAUGCGUAGAGAUCUGGAGGAAUACCGAUGGCGAAGGCAGCCAUCUGGCCUAAUACUGACGCUGAGGUACGAAAGCAUGGGGAGCAAACAGGAUUAGAUACCCUGGUAGUCCAUGCCGUAAACGAUGUCUACUAGCCGUUGGGGCCUUUGAGGCUUUAGUGGCGCAGCUAACGCGAUAAGUAACCGCCUGGGGAGUACGGUCGCAAGACUAAAACUCAAAUGAAUUGACGGGGGCCCGCACAA